GACGAACCGUGCGAACGUUGUUCGGAAUCACUGGGCUUAAAGGGCGCGUAGGCGGGCUGUCAAGUCUGGGGUGAAAUGCCGCGGCUCAACCGUGGAACUGCCUUAGAUACUGACGGCCUCGAGGAAGGUAGGGGCAUGCGGAACUGUAGGUGGAGCGGUGAAAUGCGUUGAUAUCUACAGGAACUCCGGUGACGAAAGCGGCGUGCUGGACCUUUUCUGACGCUGAGGCGCGAAAGCUAGGGGAGCAAACGGG
This 253-nucleotide ribosomal RNA is filed under the name uncultured bacterium. RNAcentral describes it as "partial 16S ribosomal RNA". It matches the Rfam family "Bacterial small subunit ribosomal RNA", at positions 524 to 776 of the family's 1533-position model. The record is from RNAcentral.